Molecule: non-coding RNA, 25 nt
Filed under: Cricetulus griseus (Chinese hamster)
Lineage: Eukaryota; Metazoa; Chordata; Mammalia; Rodentia; Cricetidae
Source: RNAcentral
CCAUGGAAGUAGCAGAGUGGACAGA